This is a long non-coding RNA of Drosophila busckii, 396 nucleotides long. RefSeq lists it as uncharacterized. Lineage: Eukaryota; Metazoa; Arthropoda; Insecta; Diptera; Drosophilidae. The record is from RefSeq and is a predicted model, not a curated record. The transcript has 4 exons.
AAUUUAAUAUAUAUUUAACGUGCAAAAUGUGUAUAAUAGUGAGACAUUGCUAAAAAAUAAAAGUGCAUUGUAAAAAUUGUAAUGCUAAAGCCGCCAUUUAAGAAUUUUUUAGCAUGCAAUCCAAAUUCUACUAAAAACGUGAAAAAGAGGAGUGGUGGUGGCCCUCAGUAACAAAAAGUGCAGCCGGCUAAUUAUAUUUGUAACAAACGUUAACUACUGCUCCUGGCGAGACUUAAAGACGACGUUGAAACGGCUCAAAGCAAGCGCUUUACAUUAAAUAAGUUGAAGACUUUCUAAACGGCAGACAGCAAAACAAACUACAGCGUGAACUAGAAGAAGGAAGAGAAAAGAGGAAAAGCUAUACGCAACGAGGGCAGUCGACAGCAGCAGCAACAA